This 1268-nucleotide long non-coding RNA is filed under the name Homo sapiens (human). Its description in RNAcentral is "HSALNT0262574". The record is from RNAcentral. Lineage: Eukaryota; Metazoa; Chordata; Mammalia; Primates; Hominidae.
GCCCGCCGUGAGGAGAGUGAAGUGGUGGAGAGGGACGCUCGUGCCACCCCGGGUCCUCCUACCGUCUCUAUCAUGAUCAUUCAGUGGGUGUCCUGCAGUGACCUGGUUGUUGGGAGGGACAGCCUCCUCCCUCUCCAGCCCAUUCCCCUUCUUCGCUGGUCAAAUUGACAACGGCAAGAUCGAGAACAGCUCAUUGGCACACCAGAUGGAAGCCAACACUGAGGAUGGAGGAGAAACAAGACACAGGGAGCCAGCUAGACACUGGAUGGCUUCGUGAAAGAGGCUCCGUGCCAGCUGAGAUUUUAUUACAAAAUCACUCUUGGGAUGCUGCUUCCCAUCGAUGGAUUCUGUUUUCCACUCCUCUUGGCAUCUAAGUGUGGCCUUGUGAUUGGUUCUCACCAAUGGGAUGGGAUGGAAGCGAUACAGGCCUCUUCCGAGCCAAUGCUCUUAAGAAACAUGUAUGUUGGCCAGGCACGGUGGCUCACGCCUAUAAUCACAGCACUUUGGGAGGCCGAGACGGGAGGAUCAGCUGAGUCCAGGAGUUCGAGACCAGCCUGGCCAACAUGGCGAAACUCCAUCUCUACUAAAAGUACAAAAAUUAGCCAGGCGUGGUGGGCGCUUAUAAUCCCAGCUACUCCGGAGGCUGAGGCAGGAGAAUUGCUUGAACCUAGGAGGCAAAGGUUGCAGUGAGCCGAGAUCCCACCACUGCACUUCAGUAUGGGCAAAAGAGUGAGACUCCAUCUCAAAAAAAAAAAAGAAACAUCUGCCUGCUUCCUGCUCUUUCAAGGCCCUAAAGAAAGAGGGGAGCCCCAAGAAACCUGGGUCCCUGAAUGACCACCUUGUGGAAAUACAUCCUGUCACCUAACAUCUAUCCUAGAUUGCUACAUGAUCAAGAAAUACACAUCUAACUUGUACACCCAAUGCUCAUAGCAGCAUUAUUCACAAUAGCCAAGAGGUGGAAGCAACCCAGUGUCCAUUGACAGAUGAGCGAAUAAACAAAAUGUGGCACAUAAAUGCAAUGGAAUAGACCAGACGCGGUGGCUCACAUCUGUAAUCCCAGCACUUUGGGAGGCCAAGGCGGGCGAAUCACCUGAGGUCAAGAGUUUGAAACCAGCCUGGCCAACAUAGUGAAACCCUGUCUCUACUAAAAAUACAAAAAAUUAGCCAGGCGUGGUGGCGGGCGCCUGUAGUCCCAGCUACUUGGGAGGCUGAGGCAGGAGAAUCACUUGAACCCAGAGGCGCAGGCUGCAUUGAGCCAAGAUCAUGCC